GAGGGAUCAUUACACAAAUAUGAAGGCGGGCUGGAACCUCUCGGGGUUACAGCCUUGCUGAAUUAUUCACCCUUGUCUUUUGCGUACUUCUUGUUUCCUUGGUGGGUUCGCCCACCACUAGGACAAACAUAAACCUUUUGUAAUUGCAAUCAGCGUCAGUAACAAAUUAAUAAUUACAACUUUCAACAACGGAUCUCUUGGUUCUGGCAUCGAUGAAGAACGCAGCGAAAUGCGAUAAGUAGUGUGAAUUGCAGAAUUCAGUGAAUCAUCGAAUCUUUGAACGCACAUUGCGCCCUUUGGUAUUCCAAAGGGCAUGCCUGUUCGAGCGUCAUUUGUACCCUCAAGCUUUGCUUGGUGUUGGGCGUCUUGUCUCUAGCUUUGCUGGAGACUCGCCUUAAAGUAAUUGGCAGCCGGCCUACUGGUUUCGGAGCGCAGCACAAGUCGCACUCUCUAUCAGCAAAGGUCUAGCAUCCAUUAAGCCUUUUUUUCAACUUUUGACCUCGGAUCAGGUAGGGAUACCCGCUGAACUUAAGCAUA
Molecule: ribosomal RNA, 537 nt
Filed under: Alternaria alternata
Lineage: Eukaryota; Fungi; Ascomycota; Dothideomycetes; Pleosporales; Pleosporaceae
Description: eukaryotic LSU rRNA
Rfam family: 5.8S ribosomal RNA (bases 178-331)
Source: RNAcentral